GUCAACUGUCAGUGUCUAAUGUGAUUUAACGUAUUGUCAUUCAUAUUGUUGAGAGAAAUACACUAAAAUCUUCGGUUAUUUCUGCUAUUCUUGCCUUAAUUAGAAACAUAAUAGGGUUAUUAAUUGCGCAGAACUUGUUUACUGAAAUAAAAUACAAGACUUUCUUUGUUGAUAUCAAAUGAUCACCAUUGAACAUUAUGACAUCUGUUUGUUUUGAUCAUAAGUUAUUAUAAUAAUUAUUUUUUAUCAGUUAAUUAACUGCUCAGUAAAAAUGGAAGGUGGUGAAUGGAGGAGCAACAUUGUAAGCCAAUUACAAGCUAGGAAUAAAUAUGAAACAGCUGCAUUUCAGGACAUUAUUGCCUUUCAAAGCAGACUGUUUGACAAUGUCAAUACAUUAAAAAAUGAAAAUCUACAGCUUACUUUGCUCAAUGAAAGAAUAAGAUUUUCUGGAACUGAUAGCGUUUUGUCUGGUACUGGAACAGCAAGCAAUGAACGGAUACAGGCUUUGGAGCAGAAAAUCUUAGUACAACAGGAAGAGUUAACGUCUAUGCAUAGGAGAAGGGGGGAACAUGCACAGCAGAUUAUGAGCCUCAAUGAAAAAGUACAUGACUUAGAAAAGCAGCUACAAGCUAAAGAUAUCGUAAUUUCAGAAAAUACUGCUGUAAUAGCAUCUCUUCGUGCCGAAAUACAAAUGUAUGAAACAAAUAUGGCGGAAUUACAAGGAUUAAAUCAAGUUCUAAGGGAUGAACAUCAAGCCUUACAAAUAGCGUUCGCAGCCAUAGAAGAAAAACUGAGGAAAGCUCAGGAUGAAAAUCGUUCGUUAGUGGAGAGACUCAUAAAAUAUAAAGCUAAGGAUGCAGAUAAAAUGAAUGAAGAAAAUGAACAUUUCCUCAAGUCAAGCAACCCUACCGCGUUUCUCAUCAACACGUUUGGUAGAGUUAGUUUCGGAAAGAAAACUGAUAAGGUGCGGAAAGAAUUAGAGGAGGCGGCGAGAGAGAGCGGCAGUCGGAGUAGUGGGUCUGGCAGUUCAGAAGAUAAAAUAUUGGACUCCAUGCCGUAUUAUGCAACAGUUUUACCCAAUAAAGUUGCACUCAGAUUUGACGCUCACGACGGCGAAGUUAAUGCUGUGAAAUGGAGUCCAACAGACAGAAUCGUUGCGACAGGAGGUGCUGAUAGAAAAGUCAAAUUAUGGGAUGUUACUAAAAGUAUGGUGGAGAACAGAGGUACACUGGUCGGGUCGAACGCGGGAGUCAUGUCAGUAGACUUCGAUUCUACUGGUGCGUACAUCGUGGGAGCCAGCAAUGACUUCGCAAGUAGGGUGUGGACAGUUGCCGACCAGCGAUUAAGGCACACGCUGACGGGUCACAGCGGCAAGGUAAUGGCGGCGAAGUUCCUCGGGGAGCCGACCAAAGUGAUCACCGGGAGCCACGACCGCACGCUCAAAAUAUGGGACCUUAGAAGUAAAAUGUGUACAGAGACGAAGUUCGCGGGGUCAUCGUGUAACGACCUGGUGACGUCAGACGGGGCUGGUUCCACCAUCAUCUCGGGACACUUCGACAAGAGGAUCAGAUUUUGGGACAUUCGCACCGAGAUGUCUGCCAAUGAUAUCAUGCUGCAGGGGAAGGUCACGUCGCUUGAUCUCAGUAGAGACAACAAUUACCUGCUGGCGUGCGUCCGCGACGACACAAUACAGCUAAUAGAUCUGAGGAUGAACACGAUCGUUCGCUCUUUCAGUCAUGAGGCGUUCAAGGUGGGGUGUGAUUGGUCGCGGGCGGCGUUCGGCCCGGGCGGGAGACUCCUGUCUGUCGGAGCGGCGGAUGGAGCGGCCUAUGUGUGGAACACGCAUUCGGGAAGGCUUGAAACUAUACUCAAGGAUCACACGUCGGCAGUGACGGCGGUGUCAUGGCACCCGCAGUCGGGCUUGCUCGCGUCAGUGGACCGCGGCAAGCGAGCUAUCAUCUGGGGAGAUUUGUGACAAGCCUGGCAGGCGCCCCAGCCGUCGCCACCUGCCGUACAGGUUAUUAUCCCAUUAUUCGACAAAGUUGGUUAUCAAAGAUGACGAUAAAGAUGGACCCGAAAACGACUCCGGAGAAAUGUUCGACUUCUUGUUAGGUUUCACCACAGAUAUAUUUCAACGUUUCACGUAACAAGAACAGCCAAUGGACAUGCACUUCCAAAUUGAAUGUGUCUAACGUUUCAAACAAAUCGGAAAGACACAGAUCAAUUCCCGUAGAAAUAAAUGGAAAAAUGGAUCGGUGACGUCAAAAUAAUUUCAUUGUAUAUUUUGUGAUUAAAUUUUAUUAAUAUAGAAAAUUAAGAGGUGCUACAAACAUGAACUAAAUCUUUUCAAAAUACGAUUAUAACGACCUCACGUUAAAACUUCAAACUUGAAUUCAAAUUGCCACGAAGGUGUAUCAAAAUUCAUGCCGUGUGUUUUUCCAUACAUGCGUGAUUUGUGCUUCGACGUCUAGGAGUUGAAGUGAACUGAAGUGUGUUGCAGUCUGAUGGGGAACCUUCACCAAUUUAGAAUGUAAGCUGUCUUCCGUCAAUUGUACCUUUAGUUUGAUUUUCCAUUCCUUUAUAAAAUCGUGUGUAUUGUUCUGUGCAAUUUGAGCCUCGAAUCGUGCACCAAACAAAUUAAAACGAUAUUUUGAUGCAAGCUCUGAAUGUGCGUUUGUGAUGUGAAGCUUUUACAGUGAUCCAAUUUUUCUACGUUAAUGUUGUAGUUAAUGGAAUUUGUAAUAGCAUUAAAUAAGUUAGCAUUAGUGUUGUUACUUCUUGAAAAGUAAUUUUAAGAAUUUCAAAAAGAACAAUUGCCGUGUAACUCGCUAGUUGAUCUAAAAAGUAGCUUGUAAUAUAAUAGUACCGACUUCGAAGUUUUAUACUCCUACGUUUAGGAUAAAUUAAUGGGGAUCAUUUAUUAUUGUCAACAUGACAUCAUAUUUGUUUUAGUUAACUGAGUUAGAUCGCGGCAGACCACCUGUGCUUCCCGAAGUCUCAUUAGCAAACAAUGAUCGGGCGUCGGCGACUACCGAAGCCUCUCGCGAUCAAUAAACUGUUGAGCCGAUAAGAGCGCCUCGGCUGCCCGAUCUAGGGCUGCCAUUACAAUUUAUCUAAUUCUAAGUGGUAUAAUUUUAUUUCCCUUAAUCACACUAUUCCACUAAGCUAUUCGCUCGACUAGCCAAAAAUGUAACUAAAUUUUUCACGUCUAUAUAGAUGAGCAUGUGAUAUCUAGCUCGUAUGUUCGUGACAUAUAAACGCGUGGCAGCCCUGUAUCGGAAGCGCGCACGCCGCAGGCGACACAUCCAUAUUCCUGUGACGUGUGUAUUGACAACCUGGCUUGGCAACUUUUUCAUAGUCAUUUUUUACCAUAUUUUUUGCCGCACAGUUCAACGACCCCGUACAAGUUGUAAGUGUUAUUUCUACAUGUAAUUAUAUCUCAUAACUGACCGCUUAAUUACUUGAAACUGCUGCGACGUCCGGACCUGGAAUCCGAUCAGAAAAAACCUAAUCCGGCGCCGCUCUUAAAUUACGCUUCGUUAACCUUCGGCUCGGCUAAUAAUAGCCUGCAACACCUAAUUUGCAUAGGACUCUCGAAGGCGCCUUGUCUCUCUACACAAUUUUCUUGCCAAAAGAACAUGUCAUACUCCGAACAUAUUAUACUCGUAAAUAUUAGUUACUGCAAUGUUAUCAAACUUUCUUUUCUUUCAAUGUCGGUGUUAUUGAGCUUUAUAUCGCCGGCCAUUAUUGUAACUAGUCACUUAUCUUCGAUGUUUAUUCUCACUUUAUUUUAUGUAUAAGUAUGUGAUAAAUUCUUUUUGAUAAAAUGUUAUUUGCAUUUAGCGGUAUAUUUAUAUGGAGUAUUUAAAAGGAUACCUUCAGAAUAAAUAAAAAUGUUAAUGAAUUUUCAAAUGUAGGUAAGUUAAACACAUUAUGCACAUAAAAGGAAGACGUUCGUUAAAUGCAAAUUAUACCAAAACUAUGUGUGUUAUUUUUUGAAUUUAUUAGUUUUGUCAAGAGGUUGUGGUUGGUUCACAGUCUUAAAAAGGAGCACAAUGUAUGGCACCUACAUUUAUAAAUUAAUCUAAUAUAUUAAGUAUGUUAUUGAUUUACUAAGUUCUUGUUAUUUUUGGAAAUGUAAAAAUAUAUUAUAAUUGACGUAGCUUGAUUAAAGUGAUGGUUAGCGGAUAUUUACGUUGGACAGUCUACGACUUCAUUAGGCGACAUGACGUUAUAAAAAUUUCAACUGAAUUUAAUUAAAUACUUAUACCUCGAUGCACAAACAUUAGAAACCGCUUAACCUUAUCUAGGAAAUUCCACCAUUUGUAACUGUUUGCAGUAGUAGGUGACUUUACACCUCUUCGGUAUCAAAUAACCAAUUUACUGAGGAUAUUCAUAGUCAUUCGAGUAGCUCCCGUACGACGGGGAAGCAAGCCGCGCCGUAGCUGCGCUCGCGCUUAGUUUUAUGUGGCCGAAUUUCCAACAGCUAGCUUGUAUUUACUAUAAUAAUGUGCCUUUCAUUAGCUACUAAGCGAGUACUUAUAUGUAUAUGGUAUAAUUAUUUUUAUUAAAACAGAUGUCAUAGAAUAACGUUUUAAUAGAUGAUAACGGCUUUAUUCCAUAUUUUGUCAUAAAUUCGCAUCAGUUUGUAUGUAAAUAGUAGUAUAGGUUAUUAUACAGCUUUACAAGACUGUUGUCCUUAUUUUAGAUAAACGUUACAUCACAAUGACGAGUUGACGUCCUUUUAAUAGUUUUAGCGUUGAAAGCUUUUCCUUGAUUACAUUUUCUACGUGAAGUUUUCAAGUUUCGGUGAGUGAUUAUUAUUGAUUGUUAAACAUAAGUAUGUGAACGCAUAAUAAUGUUUUAUAAUGUAGAACAUACGGCUUGAGAUGUUUCUACCAAUAUUUUUAUACUAAACGUUGUACAGUAGAAACGUUUGUGAACAAUAUAAAGCCAAUUUGGUCAACCGCAUUAAAUAAAAUUGUAUCUACUUUCGUCA
Helicoverpa armigera (cotton bollworm) is the source of this 4999-nucleotide RNA transcript. It is a transcript of the gene named autophagy-related protein 16-1, with no coding region annotated. The transcript is spliced from 15 exons. The record is from RefSeq and is a predicted model, not a curated record. Lineage: Eukaryota; Metazoa; Arthropoda; Insecta; Lepidoptera; Noctuidae.